ACAAGUACGCCGGCUUCGCGCGCUCCCCAGCGGCCCGCGGGAGGCGACGGACGGCGGGACAGACGGACGGACGGACGGACGGCAGCUUACCGGGGCCGAGGGCCAAACCCGCGAAGCGCGCGGGCUCCGACGGGCAAGCGGCGGACGGGGGCUCCGGCGAGCCCUCGGGGCCCGGGCGCCCUCUCCACUCCGGGGCGCACGGCCUCACCCCGCACACCCCCGGCACCCGCCCGGCAUGCAGCGGGCCCAGGACUGAGGGGCGGAGGCGUCUGCUCUCCGGGUCCCGCUCGGCCCCUGCCCGGCGCUCCCGGCGGUGCUCCCGGCGUCCGGCGGGCUUCCCGGCGGCGGCGCGGCGCGGGGACUUUUCGCCUCUCGCUGGCCUCUACCGAGCGCGUCUAUGAGCGCAGCGUUCCCGCCGUCGCUGAUGAUGAUGCAGCGCCCGCUGGGGAGUAGCACCGCCUUCAGCAUAGACUCGCUGAUCGGCAGCCCGCCGCAGCCCAGCCCCGGCCAUUUCGUCUACACCGGCUACCCCAUGUUCAUGCCCUACCGGCCGGUAGUGCUGCCGCCGCCGCCGCCGCCGCCGCCCGCGCUGCCCCAGGCCGCGCUGCAGCCAGCGCUGCCGCCCGCACACCCUCACCACCAGAUCCCCAGCCUGCCCACAGGCUUCUGCUCCAGCCUGGCGCAGGGCAUGGCGCUCACCUCUACGCUCAUGGCCACGCUCCCCGGCGGCUUCUCCGCGUCGCCCCAGCACCAGGAGGCGGCAGCGGCCCGCAAGUUCGCGCCGCAGCCGCUGCCCGGCGGCGGUAACUUCGACAAGGCGGAGGCGCUGCAGGCUGACGCGGAGGACGGCAAAGGCUUCCUGGCCAAAGAGGGCUCGCUGCUCGCCUUCUCCGCGGCCGAGGCGGUGCAGGCUUCGCUCGUCGGGGCUGUCCGAGGGCAAGGGAAAGACGAGUCAAAGGUGGAAGACGACCCGAAGGGCAAGGAGGAAAGCUUCUCGCUGGAGAGCGAUGUGGACUACAGCUCGGAUGACAAUCUGACUGGCCAGGCAGCUCACAAGGAGGAAGACCCGGGCCACGCGCUGGAGGAGACCCCGCCGAGCAGCGGCGCCGCGGGCAGCACCACGUCUACGGGCAAGAACCGGCGGCGGCGGACUGCCUUCACCAGCGAGCAGCUGCUGGAGCUAGAGAAGGAGUUCCACUGCAAAAAGUACCUCUCCUUGACCGAGCGCUCGCAGAUCGCCCACGCCCUCAAACUCAGCGAGGUGCAGGUGAAAAUCUGGUUCCAGAACCGACGGGCCAAGUGGAAACGGGUGAAGGCAGGCAAUGCCAAUUCCAAGACAGGGGAGCCCUCCAGGAACCCUAAGAUCGUCGUCCCCAUCCCUGUCCACGUCAGCAGGUUCGCUAUCAGAAGUCAGCAUCAGCAGCUAGAACAGGCCCGGCCCUGAGGGUCCAGAAGGGCCAGGGCCUGGCACCCACCUGGAGAAGCCCCCGCACCCGAGGGAACCCAUGGUGGACUCCACUGUGUUUGAAGCAACAAAGUCACAGCCCAACUGUGGCCAUCCCAAGCAAAUUGAGAAUAUAUUCACUAAAUGGGCUUAAAAGACUGCUUUUGAAGGGGCUUACAGCCACACCAGAAGACACGCUAAAUAUUUAUUAUACUAUCCUACUUUGUACAUAAAUAUCUCUAUAGACUGGAUCUCAGCUGCAGUAUUUUGAAAGUUAUAGGACUUAAUUACCCAGUAAUUUCUCCACUCAUUCCAGAAGAAAACAAAACCUCUGCUGUAAUCUGCGCGGUUAGCAGCCACCUUUCCAUACUUUUCCAAAGGCCGUCACCUCCCCACGGCGGAGGGGCCUGGGGACCAAGACCUCCACCCAAACUUCAGGCGCAGGGUGAAGGCUGGGAGCGACCGAGUCACCCUUUCCCGCCGCGUUCCCAACAGUUCCGGUGGCGGAAAAUGGCCCAGACUUGGUUUUCGAGCCCAAUAAAAUAGAAGGGCCAGCCCUCCGAGGGCGUCGGCCGGCUCUGCGGGGCGCCGAGAGCCGCAGAGGCUCCUGGCCGCGCCCCGCCCAGCGCCAUGAAGCCUGGCAGGGAGGGGAUGGCGCCCGGGUCGCGCCCUGGCCUGGCGCGGGGGCCGCAAGGCCCGGAUCCCGCCCGCCAGGAAGCGCUGAGCGCAGGUUGCCGGUGAGCGCCUUCUGCUCGGGGCAGGUACCCACUGGCCACACGACGCUGCUGCAGCAUUCGAGGCCCGCGGGGACGCCGUCCCCCGACCCACACACCUGAGCCAGUCUGCGCGUGGCUGGGGGCGAAGAGUUUACCCGGGAAGGUUGGGGAGCUGCGGCCUCUGCCCCGCCGGCACUGCGGGUCGGGGGAAGAGACCCUGGCACUCCCCGCAGAUCCUGGAGUGCCCCCCAUAUCCCCUUCCACCAUAACAGGUGUAACCCCACCCGCCUUCUCCAAAAGCCCAUGGCAGGGAUGAGGGGCAGAGGGACCCGAAGCUUUGAGCGCACGGAACCGGAGGCCGCCGUCAGGAAGCCCCGCUCCUGGGACCGAGCUCCGGGCCCUCCCAGCCUCGAGGUCCUCGCCCUAUGGAGGCACGAGGAGGAGAGGGCCCGAGCUCCCCAAGGUGGCCGAUGCCGCCCUCCCUCCUGCUCCUCGGGGCGCUGACCCCCUCCCUCCCUAACCCCUGAGCCCCGGGGCGCCCCCGAGAGCCCGGCAGGGAGGCCAAGGCCCGGGAGACAGGCCGAGGGGAGGAAGAUAAACAAGCAGCGCUUGAUGGCCGCUGUCAUCAUGGCCGUCAUCAUGGCUUUCAUUUGGCUGCCUAAUGAGUCACAUCACAGGCAGAGAGAAAAAUUGUCAAUCGCCCGGGCCCUAAUGAAUUUUUUUGCAAAUUGUAAUCAAGCCAGGCCGUCUCAGCUGGCUGAUUAAUGAGACCCACGAGGCUCGGCCAGCACCUCAGCUUUUUAUUCCAUCCCGUCCUCCCUGCACUAAAUUAACAGCAACUUGUCUGAGCUUCAAAUUAACUCCCAAUGAUUAAUUCUGAUGGGGGGGCCUGAAGAAUAGCUUGUUCUAAUAGGCUCUGGCCUGAGAUGCUGUUGGAAAUUAAUACACUUCCCCUUUGGCUGCCGGCUUUAAUCCAAGGUUGGGUUUUGACAUCACUAUAUUUGUUGUUACAAUAAAUUCCACUUACAUCUGCAGAUCAAAUAAUUAUGCUUGGGAGCUCCUUGGACCUGCGCCCCCAGCCGAGCACUGGGACGCCUCAGGGCUGCCUGCACCCCGCAGCCACCGACCCAGGCAGAGGUCGGAGGGGGGCCACAAGAACAGUCACUCCACCCAGUGACUGCCUUUGCUCCCUGGCGAGCCAGGCACCCCUGCCCCAUUGGAGAACCCAAGGUAUGCUGAAAAUCCACAGCCAUCUCCCUGUUCUUGGGGCAGGACCCUCUUUAGCUUGGUCCUGGGCCUCAAGCAACUUCCCCUUGCGGAAGGAGCCCAGGACUACCUUCCCAGCAGCCGGGACCCACCUGCACUGGAAGCUGCUCAAAUCCCAACCUGCGCUGGAAUUUUCGAGACUUAGUGCAUGCUUGUGCAUCCAGCCUUUGCUUCCUGUCUUCAGCCCCCUGGGUGGUUCUUUCACAGAUGCCUUGUCAGCUAAAUGGAGAGCAGGGAGUGGCCCCCCCAGGCUUUUUUGAGCCCGGGUUUGCCUCGGAGGACAUCCUGACUCUAUGGCUGUCUGUGCGUCUGGCCUUCAGCCUAGGUGCUUGUACAAGCCUGGGCACAUCGCUGGUAGCUGCAUUCCAAGACACCCUUUCUCUCAGGGUCAGCACCCUCUCCCUCUUGUUUCUGUUUGUUUGAGCUUAAUGGGCUUAAUUAUUUCAGCUGCAUCUGGUGAAGCUCGCACAGGGCUUCCAAGGCUGCUCCCUCCAGCCCCAGACCUGUCUGGAACAGAGUCCCAUGUUAUGCCCCAUGGCAGGUGGUUCUAGGUGCACUGAAAGCCGGGAGUGACCUUCUAGCUUUCCGGCCUCAGGAGCCUCUGGAUCACACUCUGGUUCUCACCUCGGGGCCUUCCUAGUCCCAAGUGGCUGGAGCCCACGCAUUCAGCAGCGCGGGCAGCAGAGACCCUCUCGGGGCCCUCUUCUUUCCCCUGCUGGACUUCAGUGGCGGUGUGGCAGAGUGGCUCGCUUAUGCCCAGCCGUGGCUUCCCAGGGAAGGAGGCUCCAGUGCACACACCUAUUUCUGUCCCCAGAGACCCCAGGCAUCUGCCCAGGCAUGCACAGCCAGAGCAGGUGGCCUGCUCCAACCUUCUGGCCGCUGGGUCCUCCCAGGCAGCUUCAGCGCAGUGCUCAGGGCCCAGUUCCAGGGUAGCAGGGCUCUGGGGUCUUGGGGGAAGCUAAGGCCGGGGUUCUACAGGGACAGCCCAGAUGAAGGGAGGUGGCAUUCAUCUUCAUUUUAGGCCCUUAUGGUGUAAACAGGAGAAAUAUGAUCUUGGUAACCAAACAUGAAUGCAAAUCACACCGGCAGAGUAAUAAAGCACCUGAAACCCCAACGCACAAAAGCAACACCAUAUGUAUGUAGACAACCUGCAUAAAUUAUAAAUUACAUCAUCAAAACCGAUUGUCUAUUUGAACAGUUCAGAA
This is an RNA transcript of Pan troglodytes (chimpanzee), 4631 nucleotides long. It is a transcript of the gene named gastrulation brain homeobox 2, with no coding region annotated. The record is from RefSeq and is a predicted model, not a curated record. The transcript is spliced from 3 exons. NCBI's taxonomy places the organism in Eukaryota, Metazoa, Chordata, Mammalia, Primates, Hominidae.